Molecule: ribosomal RNA, 301 nt
Filed under: Dendostrea folium
Lineage: Eukaryota; Metazoa; Mollusca; Bivalvia; Ostreida; Ostreidae
Also listed under: 1 other name
Description: partial 16S ribosomal RNA
Rfam family: Bacterial large subunit ribosomal RNA
Source: RNAcentral
UAGCGUGAGGGUGCUAAGGUAGCGAAAUUCCUUGCCUUUUAAUUGUAGGCCUGCAUGAAUGGCUUGACGAGGGUUUGACUGUCUCUGGUCUCAGAAUUAAAAUUGGAUUGAAGGUGAAGAUACCUUUAUAUUAAAGUUAGACAAGAAGACCCCGUGCAACUUUUAAAGCUGGUUUAUUAAGAAACUUAAGAUUUUUAGGUGGGGCGCCUACUAAGUAAUUGUAACCUUUGUAAAUUGCCAAAACUUUCAAGUAUAGACCCGGCAAAUGCCGAUCAUAGGAGAAGUUACGCCGGGGAUAACA